RNAcentral lists this ribosomal RNA (389 nucleotides) under uncultured Methanosarcina sp. RNAcentral describes it as "bacterial SSU rRNA". It matches the Rfam family "Archaeal small subunit ribosomal RNA", at positions 408 to 799 of the family's 1478-position model. The record is from RNAcentral. Lineage: Archaea; Methanobacteriati; Methanobacteriota; Methanomicrobia; Methanosarcinales; Methanosarcinaceae.
UGUCCGGGUGUGUAAAAUACACCUGUUAGCAAGGGCCGGGCAAGACCGGUGCCAGCCGCCGCGGUAACACCGGCGGCCCGAGUGGUGAUCGUGAUUAUUGGGUCUAAAGGGUCCGUAGCCGGUUUGGUCAGUCCUCCGGNAAAUCUGAUNGCUCAACUAUUAGGCUUUCGGGGGAUACUGCCAGACUUGGAACCGGGAGAGGUAAGAGGUACUACAGGGGUAGGAGUGAUAUCAAUCCCUGUGCCACCACCUGUGGCGAAGGCGUCUUACCAGAACGGGUUCGACGGUGAGGGACGAAAGCUGGGGGCACGAACCGGAUUAGAUACCCGGGUAGUCCCAGCCGUAAACGAUGCUCGCUAGGUGUCAGGCAUGGCGCGACCGUGUCUGGU